UUAAUACACGUAGGAUAUCGGUAUAAUUAAAAAAAAAAACAAACUCGAGACGGAUAGCACGAUUUGGUUAAUACACGUAGGAUCUCAUAAGAUUUUGUAUGGUUCUCGUAACAGUUCUCUCGAUCCACAACUCGACAAUCAAUUUCUAACCGCUCUGUGGGGGCUGAGCAUGUUGUCGACCCUGAAGCUGCUCUAUACAAAGAGCUCUGGCAUGCUUGUGCUGGUCCUCUCGUGACGGUCCCUCGACAAGAUGACCGGGUCUUCUACUUCCCUCAGGGACAUAUUGAGCAGGUGGAAGCAUCGAAAAAACAAGCUGGCGGAACAGUAGAUGCCUCUCUAUGAUCUUCCUUCGAAGAUCCUUUGUCGAGUCAUUAAUGUUGAUUUAAAGUGGUGCUUAUGCGCAAAUUACUCUUUUUCCGGAACCUAUUCAAGACGAGAAUGCAAUUGAGAAAGAGGCACCUCUUCCUCCGCCCCCCAGGUUCCAAGUGCAUUCCUUCUGCAAAACCUUGACUGCUUCGGACACAAGUACACAUGGUGGAUUUUCUGGAUAUGUCACGUCAGCCUCCUACUCAGGAGUUAGUAGCAAAAAAAUUGCAUGCAAAUGAGUGGCGUUUUAGAUAUAUUUUCCGAGAUAAUGGGAAUUUGUCAACAACGAAGGCAUUUGCUUCAGAGUGGGUGGAGCGUGUUUGUUAGUUCCAAGAGGCUGGUUGCAGGCGAUGCAUUUAUCUCUCUAAGUUUUGUUUGUUUUUGGUUCAUUGUAUUCUUGAUUUGUAUCUAUAUGUUUAGUUGAUCUGUAAUAUCUGGUUCUUCUGCAGGGGUGAGAAUGGGGAAUUACGUGUGGGUGUAAGGCAUGCAAUGCGACAACAGGGAAAUGCGAGAAGCAGGAAGGCACACAGGUUACAAAGAGAACAGUUUCCUCUUCUUUGUUUCUUUACCAGGAGCGUUGAGAUCAUAUAUGACGCAAUAUUACAUAUGGUAGCUCAGAAACAUUUCCAUGAGCUGAUCGAGAUACAAUGGUACCUACAGAUGAUGUUUGAAAAGCAACUAAAGUUACAAGAUACCAGGAGCUCUUCCUCAAUGCCUUAAUCAAAGCAAUGCAAUGGCAUGUUUACCGCAUCAAAAUUUGGUUUCAGGACAAACCGUGAACCAAACUGAAUCUGCUUUUGUAUCAGUGAAACUAAGUCCAUUUAACUUUCUUUUCUUUUUCAAUUCGAGUACAAUUAAGAAAAUAUUUAUCUUGGGAAAAUGAGUACACAUAGAAUACAGCGAAGAACCUAUAUAUUUUA
Long non-coding RNA from Brassica oleracea var. oleracea, 1286 nucleotides. RefSeq lists it as uncharacterized. The record is from RefSeq and is a predicted model, not a curated record. The transcript is spliced from 9 exons. NCBI's taxonomy places the organism in Eukaryota, Viridiplantae, Streptophyta, Magnoliopsida, Brassicales, Brassicaceae.